RNAcentral lists this transfer RNA (72 nucleotides) under Marmota marmota marmota (Alpine marmot). It matches the Rfam family "tRNA". Rfam says of the family: Transfer RNA (tRNA) molecules are approximately 80 nucleotides in length. Their secondary structure includes four short double-helical elements and three loops (D, anti-codon, and T loops). RNAcentral also lists the same sequence under 1 other name. The record is from Rfam by way of RNAcentral. Lineage: Eukaryota; Metazoa; Chordata; Mammalia; Rodentia; Sciuridae.
UGGGAUGUAGCUCAGUGGUAGAGCAUUUGCUUAGCAUGUACAUGGCCCUGAGUUCAAUCCCCAGCACCACAA